Molecule: ribosomal RNA, 505 nt
Filed under: uncultured bacterium
Lineage: Bacteria
Description: bacterial SSU rRNA
Rfam family: Bacterial small subunit ribosomal RNA
Source: RNAcentral
AGCGGCCGAUGUCGGAUUAGGCUAGUUGGUGGGGUAAAGGCCUACCAAGGCGACGAUCCGGUAGCGGGUCUGAGAGGAUGAUCCGCCACACUGGGACUGAGACACGGCCCAGACUCCUACGGGAGGCAGCAGUGGGGAAUUUUGGACAAUGGGCGGAAGCCUGAUCCAGCCAUGCCGCGUGAGUGAAGAAGGCCUUCGGGUUGUAAAGCCUCUUUCGGCCGGGAAGAAAUCGCAUGGGUCAAUACCCUGUGUGGAUGACGGUACCGGAAUAAGAAGCACCGGCUAACUACGUGCCAGCAGCCGCGGUAAUACGUAGGGUGCGAGCGUUAAUCGGAAUUACUGGGCGUAAAGCGUGCGCAGGCGGUUUGGUAAGUCAGAUGUGAAAUCCCCGGGCUCAACCUGGGAACUGCAUUUGAGACUGCCAAGCUGGAGUUUGGCAGAGGGGGUGGAAUUCCACGUGUAGCAGUGAAAUGCGUAGAGAUGUGGAGGAACACCGAUGGCGAAG